UUCAAGCACCUCUUUUCUAUUUUUGCUUCUCUGAAACCACUUUGAUCCGUAAGUGUUAACAUGGUAGAAGGUGAUGUAGUGCUUCAAAGUGGGCUGAGUCUCGAAGAUAAUCCUCCAAAGGUGAUGUAGUUGCAGAAACAAAUCCUUCUCAGAAGAUAAUCUAGAGAAAGCCUAUAUGAUCGUAUCAUUACCUAAUUUGUCAAUUUUCUCAUGUGAUAUCUAGGGUUUUUGAUUCGUUGUUAUUUCGAAUUGGGAAUUUCCUCCUGUUUGUGGAUCCUGAUAAAACUCGUAACAUUGUUGCAAUUUAGAGUGUAUUAGGUUUAGGCAAAAUUAGUGUUUUUCCAAAUUGGGGGUUUUCUGGGUUUAGCAAAUUCUAGGGUUUUGUGCCUUUACGUCUCAGCCAACAACUGUUGCUGCUGAUGAUGUUAUUCCUACUCCUCCACCUUUUGCACCUGCAAUAGUAAUUUCAACUCCACCAUCAACUUUUGAUUCCUGCCGAGGGACUGUGGUUUGUCCUACAGUUUGGGCAUGAUGUUGUCUAUGUUAUCACCUAAGUGACUUAAAGAUGCAGUUCAAUCCCAAGUCAUUUCUCCCAUGUGAGCAACAAUGUCAUAUUUACUAGCAGCUGCCUGUUUUGGACUUGGAAAGGAGCCAAGAUGUACUCAAAGAAGAUUUAGCUACUGAAGCAAAAAAGAACACAGCUUCUUUUAAGUAAUAGUCAACAAGUGAAGCUUGGUAAAAUCUCUAUCAUGUAUCCUUACCUAAUUGAUGUUCAUGUGUUGGUACCUAAGAACCUUAUCAGGAAGUUUGAAGUGUAUCAUUGACCAGUUGAACCAUCCAUCUGCAAAGCCUUGCUUUUGUCCCGCAAAGAAUGAAAAAGUGCCAACUUCAAGCUCUACACAAAGGUUAAACCUCUCACGCUUAAUUCAAUUGACAUCCCUUGCAACAAAUUCUGUUUUACAAAUUUGGAGGAUCUACUAAAGGAUCGGCAACACCUAGCUCACGGAUCCUUCAUUCUGAUAAAAGAAAAGCAAUGUUCACAAUAAUCUAUUAAGCAAUUGCUUUCAGAAAGUGAAGUUUAUCAGACCUCUGCCUUCUCCCACUACUCCUUCAUCAGGUCUUGUUACAUGAUGUAAUAUCCACAAAAACAACUGAUGUGGUGAAGAAAACUCCAAUUCAUUUCAAUGUUGUAAUAUCCACAGAAACAGCUGAUGUCGCAAUCGGGGCUGUCAAAAUACACGGAACGAGUUGUUCAGUUUAUUUUGGAUCAGUUGCGAUUUUUUGAAACGUUUGGCAACCGAGGUAUACCAAAAGUUGACACAAUUAUUAGCCUAAACACUCAGCGCACUCGAAGGCACCAUCGACACCAUCAAAGUUUCUGUUUGGGGUCCAACCAGUUAACUCACGGGUUCACAUGAAUAACUUCAACAUGCUAAAAUUAAUUACAUGAUCUGAAGUUGUGUUGGGUUGUCUGAGUUUUUCUAACGAGAAUUAAGAAUCAUUAGCCUCAGUCACCAUUGCCACCACCAGGCCUGUUUUAGUUGAAUACUCGAUGGCGCAGUCACAAAGAUCCGUCUUCUUACUAGCAACAACAGGUUGCUGCUCUUACCCUUUCUACGGGAGGGAACAGGAAGGGAAGGGCUGAGAAAGCGAAGGAUGGUGAAUAUUUACUUCUUUUUAAAUCCGAUAUGCACUUCAAAUUCGAGGGGGAGAUGAUGCCUGAGAUUGAAGAACUUCAAUCUAAUUUACUCUAAUUGGGAAACUAAAUUUCUCCACCCAGUUGUUAUUUAGAGCAAAGAGCACAGAUGCAGUCCUCUUCUUGACUGACUCUUGUACAAUUAGCUGUGCUAUUUCCAAGACUAAAUGACACUAACGUUGAUUCAAAAACAUUGUUGAGGCCACUGGAUGAUGUUGAUAUGGAAGGAAAGUCUUCUGCAUAGUGUUAUCCCUUCAACUGCCAUCCGAGAUAUCUACGAUGUACAUCAAAAUGCUCAAUUUUACUACGACUGCAUCUAAAUUAUGUAAAAGCUUACUUUUGGCUUUUAAGAUUUUAUCCAUCUUUGUAAGAUCUAUCAAAGGUGCAUUUUAAGGAUGAGAAACGGGUGUUGCAUUAGUUUGUUGAAGUCUGUUGUCCAGUCUGAAGAGUUCCUUGUAGACUCUAAUAGUUGUGUAAAAAAGUGGAUGCUGCAUUUCUCAGCUUAGCCUGAUAUAUAUAGCUAUAAUGCCGCAUCUCCCUUUUGACUACAUAUCAUCUGAAGAAACCAACAGAAAUACGUGAAGAGGCUGAGCAUGCAUAUUCAUCUGAAGAACCCCAUGGAAGAGGCUGAGAAUGCAUAUGAAGCAGGGUUAUAUGUGCAUAUGAAGCAGGGUGUUAGGUACUCUUCUGGCUAUCCGUUCAUGAGCAAACAAUUAUAUUUGUUGUCUUAGCUCAAAUGGCUCAUGGUGUUUACCAUGUAGUUGUGGGUUCGACUCCCACAGAUGGCAUAGCUGUAUGACUAAGCCAAAACGUUAUAUGCAUUCCGUAUACAUAGGUAUACACAUGCAGAAAACUUUUCAUGUCUGUAUUUUCUCUGUCAAACAAAAACCAAUAUUUUUUUCUCAGCACUUCCUUCUGGAGGUCAGUAUGUUGGAAGUUUUUUUUUCUUUUCGGUGA
This is a long non-coding RNA of Papaver somniferum (opium poppy), 2653 nucleotides long. RefSeq lists it as uncharacterized. Lineage: Eukaryota; Viridiplantae; Streptophyta; Magnoliopsida; Ranunculales; Papaveraceae. The transcript has 10 exons. The record is from RefSeq and is a predicted model, not a curated record.